UACUUGGUUGAUCCUGCCAAGGAAGCACACUUAGGUCAUAGAUUAAGCCAUGCAAGUGUUAGUUCAGGUAACGAAACUGCGAAUAGCUCAUUAAUACGCUCAGAAUCUAUUUGGCGGCGACCAACAGGUCUUAAAUGGAUAGCAGCAGCAACU
Non-coding RNA from Trichomonas vaginalis G3, 153 nucleotides. Lineage: Eukaryota; Parabasalia; Trichomonadida; Trichomonadidae. The record is from Rfam.